UGAAUAAACCUGAUGGGUUGUUGCUGGCUCUCUAGGGUAGCAUGUGCACACCUUGUCAUCUUUAUAUCUCCACCUGUGCACCUUUUGUAGAUCUUUUUCAGAUCUAUGUUGUUUCAUUUACCCCAAUGCAUGUUAAUAGAAUGUUGUGGCUUUAUAAUAUAUACNACUUUCAGCAACGGAUCUCUUGGCUCUCGCAUCGAUGAAGAACGCAGCGAAAUGCGAUAAGUAAUGUGAAUUGCAGAAUUCAGUGAAUCAUCGAAUCUUUGAACGCACCUUGCGCUCCUUGGUAUUCCGAGGAGCAUGCCUGUUUGAGUGUCAUUAAUAUAUAUAUAUCACCCCUCUUCUCUUGUUGAGUGUGUUUGGAUGUAGGGAGUGUGCUGGACUCUUAAAGGUGGUUCAGCUCUUCUGAAAUGCAUUAUCAGAACAACCUGUAUCAUUGGUGUGAUAACUAUCUACGCUAUUGAAUGUCAAGGGAAGUUCAGCUUUCCAACUGUCCUCGGACAAUUUACAUCAUUAAUGUGACCUCAAAUCAGGUAGGACUACCCGCUGAACUUAAGCAUAUCAU
This 565-nucleotide ribosomal RNA is filed under the name uncultured Cortinariaceae. RNAcentral's name for it is "eukaryotic LSU rRNA". The stretch from base 165 to 318 matches the Rfam family "5.8S ribosomal RNA". Lineage: Eukaryota; Fungi; Basidiomycota; Agaricomycetes; Agaricales; Cortinariaceae. The record is from RNAcentral.